UUUCCGUAGGUGAACCUGCGGAAGGAUCAUUACCGGGUUUAUCUGGCUCCGCCGGAUGCCUUCACACCUUGCGUAUCAAAACGUUGCUUCGGCGGGACACCUGAGAGGGUCGUCGGCGAAAGCGGGCGAGCGCCCGCCGAACUUAUCCAAACUCGAUUCUACCUGCAGUCUGGUAACUUGAGAAUCUUCAAAACUUUCAACAACGGAUCUCUUGGUUCUGGCAUCGAUGAAGAACGCAGC
Molecule: unclassified non-coding RNA, 240 nt
Filed under: uncultured fungus
Lineage: Eukaryota; Fungi
Description: sequence contains ITS1, 5.8S rRNA gene
Rfam family: 5.8S ribosomal RNA (bases 192-240)
Source: RNAcentral